AUGGUUACUGCGCUCUGGCUCCGGCGUAGGGCGGCGCUCGCCGACAAGCUGGAGGAGUGGGAGCUCGAACACCCCCAGAGGAUUCCAUACGUCGAGCUCUACAAGGCGACCAAGGGGUUCAAGGAGAGCGGGCUUCUCGGCUCGGGCGGUUUCGGCCACGUGUACAAAGGCGUGCUCGGACGCCGUCGGUCCGGCUCCGGGUCCGGGUCCGGGUCCGGGUCCGGCGAGGAGGUGGCCAUCAAGCGGAUCUCCAGCGGCACCAAGCAAGGGAUGAGGGAGUUCGUGGCGGAGGUCUCGAGCCUGGGGCGGAUGCGGCACCGCAACCUGGUGGAGCUGCGCGGGUGGUGCAAGCACGGCCAGGACCUGCUCCUCGUCUACGACUUCAUGCCCAACAGCAGCCUCGACGCGCACCUGUUCGGCGGGGGCAACAAGGUGCUCGCGUGGGCGCAGCGGCUCAACGCCAUCCGGGGCGUGGCGCGCGGCCUGCUGUACCUGCACGAGGAGUGGGAGCACGUGGUGGUGCACCGCGACGUGAAGGCCAACAACGUGCUGCUCGGCGCCGACAUGGCCGCGAGGCUCGGCGACUUCGGCCUGGCGCGCCUCUACGAGCACGGCGCGGCCCCGGGCACCACGCGCGUGCCCGGCACCCUGGGGUACAUGGCCCCGGAGCUCACCGUGACCAGCCGCGCCACCACGGCCACCGACGUCUUCUCCUUCGGCGCGCUGCUGCUCGAGGUCGCGUGCGGCCGCCGGCCCGUCGAGCCGGGCGAGGCGGCGGACGUGGUCCUGGUGCGGUGGGUCCGGGACUGCGGGCUGGACGGCAACCUGCUGCGCGCCGUGGAUCCGAGGCUGGACGGGUGCUACGACGCCGGGGAGGCGAAGCUGGUGCUGUGGCUCGGCAUGGUGUGCAGCCAGGGCCGGCCUGAGGCCAGGCCCAGCAUGAGGCAGGUCUGCCAGUUUCUCGACGGCGAGGAGGUGCUGCCGGAGGACGCCGUGCUCGUGUUCUCGGAUCCCGACUCGUCCGUGACCCCUGGGUCGUCCGUGCUCUCGUCCAUGACCUGGUCCUCCUCCGGUGGCACCAUGUCCGUCGGCUCGCUGCAUGGCGGUCGGUGA
This 1113-nucleotide ribosomal RNA is filed under the name Triticum aestivum (bread wheat). RNAcentral's name for it is "partial small subunit ribosomal RNA". The record is from RNAcentral. Lineage: Eukaryota; Viridiplantae; Streptophyta; Magnoliopsida; Poales; Poaceae.